UACGGGGGGGGUAAGCGUUGUUCGGAAUUACUGGGCGUAAAGGGCUCGUAGGCGGCCAACUAAGUCGGACGUGAAAUCCCUCAGCUUAACUGGGGAACUGCGUCUGAUACUGGAUGGCUUGGAUUUGGGAGAGGGAUGCGGAAUUCCAGGUGUAGCGGUGAAAUGCGUAGAUAUCUGGAGGAACACCGGUGGCGAAGGCGGCAUCCUGGACCAGUACCGACGUUCAGGCACGAAAGCGUGGGGAGCAAACAGG
This 253-nucleotide ribosomal RNA is filed under the name uncultured bacterium. RNAcentral's name for it is "partial 16S ribosomal RNA". It matches the Rfam family "Bacterial small subunit ribosomal RNA", at positions 524 to 776 of the family's 1533-position model. The record is from RNAcentral.